GCGAGGAUCAUUAACGCGCAGGCCGGAGGCUGGCCCCCCACGAUAGGAAUCAACGUUCCAUCAGGGGUGUGCAGAUGUGCGCCGGCCUUACGCCCCAUUCUUGUCUACCUUACUCGGUUGCCUCGGCGGGCCGCGCUCUCCUGGGAGAGUCGUCCGGCGAGCCUCUUUGGGGGCUUUAGCUGGAUCGCGCCCGCCGGAGGACAGACAUCAAAAAAUCUUGGAAAGCUGUCAGUCUGAGCGUUAGCAAGUAAAAUUAGUUAAAACUUUCAACAACGGAUCUCUUGGUUCCGGCAUCGAUGAAGAACGCAGC
RNAcentral lists this unclassified non-coding RNA (310 nucleotides) under Trichophyton benhamiae. RNAcentral's name for it is "sequence contains ITS1". The stretch from base 262 to 310 matches the Rfam family "5.8S ribosomal RNA", at positions 1 to 49 of the family's 154-position model. Lineage: Eukaryota; Fungi; Ascomycota; Eurotiomycetes; Onygenales; Arthrodermataceae. The record is from RNAcentral.